ACGUUUCUCUUCAGGUACAUGGCAUAGGACUAGAGAGAUCCACUGAUCUGUUAAAGGAGAAGCUGCAACGGCACAAAAUUGAGAUAAGCAUAUAGAUUUAUAACAUUAGCUGAGUAAAUUUUAGAGUUGAUAACUUGUUAAAGCAUAGAAAUUCAGGAGUAUAUAUAUAUAUAUAUCUUACAAAUCAAGUGAAAACCGUCAAUCUGGACAUUAUUCUAUGCUUAGCGCUAAUCUUGUGAAUACAUAAAAUAUCAAUCUCAGAUCUUCUGUACAAAAGCUGCACAACAAAAGAGGAGUACUGCAAAAAGUAGCACUCGGUUAUGUGAAUCAUGUCCCCACCAUCCGAUUUCUUUCCUUUUAUAGAAGUUUGUUUUUGCAAGAAAUAUCCCCAAUAAGAAAACCUAAAUUAUGAGAUAAUUUUGAAGAAAAGGGAGAAAGAAUGGUGAAGGUGAUGACGGAAGCAUAGAGAGCACAAAUGAAUUGAGAUGCUUUUUUGCAGGUGCCUUCCAAUCCCAGAUUUAGCAGCAUGUCAUCAUCUGUGCUCUCUAUCUUCUGUCAACAAUCUCACACUAGUCUCUUCAUCCGCCAUAAAUUUAUAUGUAAAAAUUUACCAACAGGUCUAAAAAAAUUAAAUGCGUAAUCGUAGUUCCGCUUUUGAUUCAAUACACUAUAAACAGGAAGGAUUUGCGGAAUGAAAAGCAGCAAAGAGUAGUUGAUGUUUUGUUCUUUUAUCACGAACAAGAAUUUUCUUGGGUGGGUGGGUGGGUGAGUGAUUGUGGUUGGUGUUUAAUGCAGAAAGAGUUGUGGUAGGGCUAUUUUUGGGGUUGCGGAAAUAUAAUUAUUUGUGGUGGACUACCCUAUUUAGGACUAGCAGCGGCGGGGGACCUAUUUAUAGAAACAAAUAUGCCUGGGAAUUAAAUGUCCUGGUUAAAAGGGUACCACAGACUCUUCUCGAAAUAAGUAUGGGGGUAUGGAUUCCUGGUAGCAAGUGUUCUCUCUUUCUACGAGUCUUAGCAUGUGUGAAUUCAGAUUAGUCGAGGCGCUAAUGCACAUAUGGAACAUCGGGCAGGAAACCAAACAAAAAAUAUAAUUCCUCCGUCUCAAUUUAUGUGAACUCAUUUGACUGGCACAGAGUUUAAGAAAAGAGNNNNNNNNNNNNNNNNNNNNNNNNNGCAUAAAGGUAAAUUGUUUCCAAAUAGGAAAAGAGGUCAUUCUUUUUGGCACGGACUAAAAAGGAAAUAGGUUCACAUAAAUUGAAACGGAGGGAGUAUGAUAAUUGCAUAUUGAAAGUGCUCGGUCAACGUUACAAAAUGAUAGUAGAAAAUAUUAACAGGAGGUAAAAAGUUCUCCGGUAGAAAUAACAAAAAAAGAUCUUAAUUUUCAUUAUUUUCUCGAAAGUCAAUUGAUUAUCUUUCUGAGGGGACUUUGUACCGUCAAAUUAAACUAAUAAAUUGAUACUGUAUGAGAUUACAGAUGAUAUUAUAUAAGUAUGUGGCUUUGACAUGUACCUGGAGGUAACUUUAAAAGAGAGUGCGAAACCGACAUAAAAUGAAAACAUUAUAGCCCAAUCAUUCUAAAUUCAUGCUUGGCUCAAGUAUCUUCUAAUUGUGAUAUAAUUAGCUUUAAUUUGCUGCUGCAUCAUGCGAGUUUAAUGGUUUCUUUACCUGAAGAUUUCACCUUAUUUUUCUACUCCAAGAUCCUAAGGAUACGUUUGGACAUAGAUUCUCAAAUAUUUUUUGAAAAAAAAAAACUUGAAGUUUGAUCGGAAAUUGAAAAUAUGUUUGGACUUGAAUUUUGGGACAAGUUUUGACAUAUUAAAAAGAUUUUUUAUUCAGCUAAAAAGUUCCAAAUGAUCAUGAUUUGGCCCCAAAAGAGGUAUUAAGCUAUAUUUCGGAUUUGAAGGUUUGAUUUUUAAAAUUUCCCAAAGACUAAAUUAAUUCUAUAAACACAUAUUUGAAACUCUUUUCGGAAUUUUUUUUUUUCCAAAACUUAUGGCCAAACGCCUAUAAAACAAUUAACUUUGUUAGAUUACCCGGGCUGAAAAUGUUAGUGAUUUGUCAACCCUUUUCCCCCUAAUUAAACGUUGUUUUAUCCACAAACUCCCCGCUCCUUUUUUUUUUUUGGUUGGUAGGGUUGGGUUUGGUAAAACCCCUUCCAUAUUCGAAAGUAGAUUCUAUCUUCUUCUUUUGGGGUCUGUUUGGAAAGUCAUCAUUGGAAUUGGUGUAAUUACUAUAUAGUAAUUAUACAGCCUAGUAAUUAUACGGUAUUGUAAUUACGAUGAUAUAUUUGUUUGUCAUAAUAUCAUUAUAGUGUAAUUACAAGUGUAUUGUUUGGUUGCACAACUGUAAUUACAUUGUUAGAUUAAAUUUGAAAUAUAAAGUUAAUUAUCAAAAUUUAAAAGUUAAGAUUUAACAAAUAUAUGCCUUUAUAAAUAAUAUUAAAUAUGACAUUUAAGAUAUACAGUGUUUCUUGAAAAUAUAUUAAUCACUAAUCAUAUAUUUGUAACUAAUAUUGUAAAAGUACUUGAUAUAUAUGUUUGAAAUUAAUAAUAUUUUACUUUAAUCAACUAUAAAAAUUAAAAGUACAUAUUUUGUAAGAACAUUAUGUAAUGCACGCCUGACAAAAUAAAUAUUUAUAAAUAUAAUAUUAUAACAUCACUCAAUUUUUUUACGAAAAAUAAUCUAUCAAUUCUAACUGAAAAAUGAAUGGCUUGCAAUAUAAAAUAAUAAGUGAAUUCUACUAAAGCAAAUAAAAUAGAAGUGAAAAUAUAACAUAAAUUAAAAAUCCAAAUAAUUAAUAUAAUACUCUUAUGCAAAAUUACGACAUAACAUAAAAUAAAUUUCAACAUAAUUUAAAUAAAUAUAAUUCAUAAUAAAAUAAAAAUAUAAGUCUAUAACCUCAUUAGACAAUGAAAUUCUACUUUAGUGACAUCACUCAUUAUAUGCUAAGUUUUUUUUAAUGAUUCAUUAUUUCUAAUAUUAGGAGGAGGGGUUUCAAAACUAGAAUAAUAGCACAAUUACACUAAAUAAAAAUAAUAAAAACAAAAUAUAAAAAAUAUGAGCAACUACAUGGAGUCACAAAACAUAAAUGUUGAAAAAUGUUAAUAUUAUUUAUAUAUUAAAGAGUAAUCUAUCAUUUUAAUAUGGUUAAGUUUGUAUAUAACCUCAUCCUCUAACAAAGUUCAACUCUAAUGACAUCACUCAUUAUAAAUCAAGUUUGUGGAUGACUUAUUCUUUAUAAGAUUACUAAGUAUAAUGUUGUAACGACCCAGCCGGUUGUUUCAUGAGUUAUAGUUCUAUUCUCCCCGUUUCUGCUUCUUUAUGUGUUGCUCAACUGUAUUUUGUCACACCUCCUUUUUUACUACCCCGAAAGGGUAUAUAAGAGAGUUUUUCUAGUUUAAGUGACAAUUGAAACGAGAUUAUUAUUUAAGAUCAGAGUCGCCACUUGGGAUAAUUUAUGAUGUCCCAAGUCACCGGUUUAAAAUUUCGAAUCGAGGAAGUUGACUCUUAUUUAUGGUCUGCGAACACGGAAAUUCGGGUAAGGAAUUCUGUUAACCCGAGAGAAGGUGUUAGACAUUCCCGAGUUCUGUGGUUCUAGCACGGUCGCUUUGAUCAUACUUGCUUAAUCAAAUUGUCUAAUUACUCAUUUUAGAACCUAUGUGUAUUUGCCUUUUUAAUUAAGCAACUAUCUUGAAACGGGUCAUGCGCACGUGUACCCAUUUGUUUGGCGCGUCAAAAAUCAUGUCACGCGAACGUGUCCACGAUCAAUAACGCUUUGUUAUUAUUACGAUUGUUUUUUUACCAAAGUUGCACGAACGCAUACCUCAAUUUAUUUUUAAAAGAAUCGUAAUCAUGUCACGCGAACGUGUACACAAUUACAAUAGUUUGAUUAAACAACAACAAAAACUAUAGUUCGAUUAUGAGAAUCAGAAAUUCAAGCUUAUCAGCCUUAUUCCAAAUUAAUGAUACUACGACCUACUUAAAAAUGAAAGAAGCUGCUUUUGUGAAAAAGUUCAUUCCAAUCUUCUUUUGUUAGUUUAUUUCCUCAAAAUGGGUAAACUAAGAUUGGCGACGAUGCAAUAAACUUAUCUUUACAAUCUCAGGAUCAAAUGCAAUAAACUUACUUUUACAGACAAUACAAAAUAAUCACUUAUAGAAACCAUAUAAAAUAUAAUUUGUAACUAUAAUAGGAAUAGAGAUGGACCUUAGAAGGAGUAGGUGAGUCCAUGAACAAAUAAGAAACCAGUACAGGAUCACGAUGAAACGGAAUCUCGUCGGACGACACUCUAACCUCGACGGAACUGAACAGACCCAACGAACAGAGCUAGCGACCUAUGAACGGGCUUUAAAGGGACUCGAUCUCAACAGAAAUGUUACACUAAAUGGAACAACGAACUUGAAACUCAGUCGACAACAUCAAACGAACUCUCCACGAGCUUUAAAUGAACUCCAUUGACGAAACAAAAUUUUGUCGCCGGUUUCCGGCCAUCUCCGGUGGUGAAGGAGCAGCAACCGGUCUGCUGUGAGGUGAAGAAGAAGGAACGGUGACGAGGGGUGUGUUGGUGAAGGUUUUGCCGCUGGCGUGAGGUCGGAUCGUUCGGUUGCUUCUUCUCCUUUAAUCUCUAUGUGUUUUUGUUAAUGAAGAUGGUGAAGAAGCAGAACGGAUGGGAGGGUAUGACUCUUGGCUGAAGAGAGAUUCCUUUGGUCUCUAGUGUUGAAAUGGACGAUAUGGAGAUGGAGUUUUGCUAGGGUUUUGUUUGUGAAGAAGGAGAUGAACUGGUGGGGGGGUCUCGUUUUGUGUAUUGCGGCGGAUCUCUUAGGCGUUAGGAAAUUAGCUCCUCAUUUUUUUUGUCCAAAACGGUUGUCCGCC
This 4869-nucleotide long non-coding RNA is filed under the name Nicotiana tabacum (common tobacco). RNAcentral's name for it is "long non-coding RNA (NTAB_LNC002823)". Lineage: Eukaryota; Viridiplantae; Streptophyta; Magnoliopsida; Solanales; Solanaceae. The record is from RNAcentral.